GAUGAACGCUGGCGGCGUGCCUAAUACAUGCAAGUCGAGCGAACGGACGAGAAGCUUGCUUCUCUGAUGUUAGCGGCGGACGGGUGAGUAACACGUGGAUAACCUACCUAUAAGACUGGGAUAACUUCGGGAAACCGGAGCUAAUACCGGAUAAUAUUUUGAACCGCAUGGUUCAAAAGUGAAAGACGGUCUUGCUGUCCCUUAUAGAUGGAUCCGCGCUGCAUUAGCUAGUUGGUAAGGUAACGGCUUACCAAGGCAACGAUGCAUAGCCGACCUGGGAGGGUGAUCGGCCGCACUGGAACUGAGACACGGUCCAGACUCCUACGGGAGGCAGCAGUAGGGAAUCUUCCGCAAUGGGCGAAAGCCUGACGGAGCAACGCCGCGUGAGUGAUGAAGGUCUUCGGAUCGUAAAACUCUGUUAUUAGGGAAGAACAUAUGUGUAAGUAACUGUGCACAUCUUGACGGUACCUAAUCAGAAAGCCACGGCUAACUACGUG
Molecule: ribosomal RNA, 497 nt
Filed under: uncultured bacterium
Lineage: Bacteria
Description: partial 16S ribosomal RNA
Rfam family: Bacterial small subunit ribosomal RNA
Source: RNAcentral